Long non-coding RNA from Pseudophryne corroboree (corroboree frog), 4518 nucleotides. RefSeq lists it as uncharacterized. Lineage: Eukaryota; Metazoa; Chordata; Amphibia; Anura; Myobatrachidae. The transcript is spliced from 5 exons. The record is from RefSeq and is a predicted model, not a curated record.
GGACACUAAAAGACAGUACAAAGCUCCGUAUAGACAGACCACAGAUUCUGACUCUUCACAGGGGCGUGAUAACAUCAGUGAAUCUGAUUGCAUUCCGGGACGGCCCUUCAUCCCUUUAGCCGUACGUACCCGCAACCAGCUGGCCGACAGAGGAGGUUCACGCGGAGAGGGGGGCAAAACAAGAGGACGAAAACCAGGCCGCCCACCGCUUGCCCGCCGCAAGAGACAGUAAUUAAUCUAUCCUCACGAACAUUGACUGAGCUUGAACUUAAGGUACUCGGCCGCGGUCUAUCUUUUGUACCUAGCACCCACUUUGAUGAUUUUAAAUGGGAGGUGGAGAAAUACCGUUUAACCAGACAACUUAGACUACACGAACACUUUAAAGGCAACAAGACACAGCCUGCUGAUUUUCCUAUCUCUACGGAUAUACCUGCAGCAGUAAAACGCCUUCAAAGAAAGUCUACGUUUGACCCACCCACCAACAAUACUUCUAUUAAGACUUUUUCACUGUUUGAUUAUUGCGGUUGUUAUGGCAACGGUGGUUAGGAUGAUGUCGUCAUCAGUGGGCGCCGUCUUCCAGCUUCCGGAGCCAGCCGUCGUCACGUGGUGAGGUGCAGGUCUUUAAAUUACCUUCUGUCACUGCUGCUCCAGUCAGUGCUGUGGUCUCCUCCCUGCAUCAUAGCUGGUUCCCAGGAAAGAGGCAUCCUUGUUUUGAAUCCAGGAUGGUCAAAGUGAAACUGCUCUAUUUUUAUAGAGCAUUGAUUGGAGCAAGAGUGAACAUGUACCCACCGCAGAACAGUACCUUCUGUCACUGCUGCUCCAGUCAGUGCUGUGGUCUCCUCCCUGCAUCAUAGCUGGUUCCCAGGAAAGAGGCAUCCUUGUUUUGAAUCCAGGAUGGUCAAAGUGAAACUGCUCUAUUUUUAUAGAGCAUUGAUUGGAGCAAGAGUGAACAUGUACCCACCGCAGAACAGAGUAUUGGCCAGAGGAGUCUAUGCAAAGUUGUGUGCACUCAAACCAAUUGGUGAAGCAGCUGGACCAGUCCAAAGCAGGUAUGUCUUCUACAUGCUGGAUGAAGGUCUCCACUGCAGCUUCCGAUGAUUAAAAAUUAAGCCCAUGCAUCUUGCACUUGAUUUGUGGUAACACGAAGAACUUAAAGGGAACCUUCUCUAACUGAGCCCCGGUUAUCCUGGCAUCCAACUCAACUAUGGUUAUGUUAUCCUCAGUGACGGCAGACACAUGUUUUCUUCCAGAGGCCAUCUCCCAUGCUGAAAUUCUGCAAACCACUCAAACACAGUGUUUCAGAACGGUGCUUCCCCCGCAAAAGCAGCUCACAGUUGGUCAAAUCUCUCCUGCUGUCACAGACCACUCUUAUAGCAUAGAAGAAUAUGACUUUCCAGUGGCCUCUGCUGAGCUCCGUAACGGGUUUGGAAGGAAGCGAACAUGCUGAAUUCUUUAGUGUGCAGUGCUGCUUAUAUACAGUUCUAUGCCUUGAUAUUUCAAAAGAACUUUAGUCAGAGAUUACAGUUAACAACCAGACAGAUUGGGGGGAAUGUAAUAGAGUGCGAGAACCAGGAAGUGCGGGUUCUCAUGUAUUUUUAAGGCGCAAAUAGUUACACUGCAAAACAAGGUUUGUUUUGCUGCACAACUGAUUUCUGCAUUAAAAAUAUGUGAGAACUCAGAUGAAGUCCUGCACUUCCUUUUUUUAGUUUUUUGCAAAUUUAUUAUAAAUAAAAAACUAAGAAAUCACAUGUACAUAAGUAUUCACAGCCUUUGCCAUGAAGCUCAAUAUUGAGCUCAGGUGUAUCCUGUUUCCACUGAUCAUCCUUAAGAUGUUCCUACAGCUUAAUUGGAGUCCACUUGUGGUAAAUUCAGUUGAUUGGACAUGAUUUGUAAAGGCACACACCUGUCUAUAUAACGUCCCACACUUGACAGUGCAUGUCUGAGCACAAAUCAAGCAUGAAGUCAAAGGAAUUGUCUGUAGACCGCCGAGACAGGAUUGUCUCGAGGCACAAAUCUGGGGAAGGGUGCAGAAAAAUAUCUGCUGCUUUGAAGGUCCCAAUGAGCACAGUGGCCUCCAUCAUCCAUAAAUUGAAGAAGUUCGGAACCACCAGUACUCUUCCUAGAGCUGGCCGGCUGUCUAAACUGAGCGUUUGGGGGAGAAAGGCCCUAGUCAGAGAGGUGACCAAGAACCUGAUGGUCACUCUGUCAGAGCUACAGCAUUCCUCUGUGGAGAGAGCAGAACCUUCCAAAAGGACAACCAUCUCUGCAGUAAUACACCAAUCAGGCCUGUAUGGUAGAGUGGCGAGAUGGAAACCACUCCUUAGUAAAAAGCACAUGGCAGCCCACCUGGAGUUUGACAAAAUGCACCUGAAGGACUCUCAGACCAUUAGAAACAAAAUUCUCUGGUCUAAUGAGACAAAGAUUGAACUCUUUGGUGUGAAUGCCAGGUGUCAUGUUUGCAGGAAACCAGGCACCGCUCAUCACCAGGCCAAUACCAUCCCUACCGUGAAGAAUGGUGGUGGCAGCAUCAUGCUGUGGGGAUAUUUUUCAGUGGCAGGAACUGGGAGCCUAGUCAGGAUAGAGAGAAAGAUGAAUGCAGCAAUGUACAGAGACAUCCUGGAUGAAAACCUGCUCCAGAGCGCUCUUGACCUCAGCCUGGGGUGACGGUUCAUCUUUCAGCAGGACAACGACCCUAAGCUCACAGCCAAGAUAUCAAAAGGAGUGGCUUCAGGACAACUCUGUGAAUGUCCUUGAGUGGCCCAGCCAGAGCCCAUACUUGAAUCCGAUUGAACAUCUCUGGAGAGAUCUGAAAAUGGCUGUGCACCGACGCUUCCCAUCCAGCCUGAUGGAGCAUGAGAGGUGCUGCAAAGAAGAAUGGGCGAAACUGGCCAAAGAUUGGUGUGCCAAGCUUGUGGCAUCAUAUUCAAAAAGACUUGAGGCUGUAAUUGCUGCCAAAGGUGCAUCAAAAAAGUAUUGAGCAAAGGCUGUGAAUACUUAUGUACAUGUGAUUUCUUUUUUUUAAUUUUUAAUGCAUUUGCAAGAAUAUAAAAAAAAACUUUUUUCACGUUGUCAUUAUGGGUUAUUGUGUGUAGAAUUUUGAGGGAAAAAUGUAUUUAUUCCAGUUUGGAAUAAGGCUGUAACAUGAGAAAAUGUAAAAAAAGUGAAGCGCAGUGAAUAUUUUCUGGAUGCACUGUAUAUAAAUACAAUUAGAAAAAUACAAAGAAGAUAUUUAUUACAUAAUUGUCUUCUUUGUUUAUUGUAAUCCUUUUUAUAGCUAACACUCACCAGCUUUGUGAAAAUCCCUGGAGCUGCAGGGAAAUGAGAGAUGAGUCAGCAACAGCUUUGCCUCUGUUCUACAGUCAAACACUUCUUCUUAGAGCUAGGGAUGGGGACAUACCACAGGCAGUAAAGCUGCACAGAAAGGGAGCUAAUAGAGGGAUGCCUCUGAGUGUGGGGGUGGGCCUUGUGCACUGAUGGACACUUGGAUAUGUCAUGUUACCAGGAAGUCUACUGUAGUCGUAGCUUAGUCAGUUGUAGCAAGAGAAGACAUAGCGAUGUAGGUAAAAGACUCAGUGAUGUAGGUAGAAGACUCAAUGGACACUGUAGCUUAGAGUAUUAAGGGAAGAGUUACAGUGAGUAGGGGGUGAGACAGGCUCCCAGCAUACAGACUAAUCUCCAUGUGCAUCUCUCUAGCCAUGCACCUCACCACACAUCACUGGGGCCCAAGCAAUUGGUACCUGUUCCCCAAAUCCCCCCCCACCUAACACACACACACACACACACACACACACCUAGGUGGCCCUAACUAUAGCAUGACUGAUUGUUAUUGUACGUAGCUGUUAAAACUGAUUGGCUGAUUUAUAGGCAUUACUAUACUACUGAGGUUGGAAAUUUGGUGGUAAGCCAGCAACUGCAUAUCAUGCUGCUGCAACAACUGCCAUUGCUUUAAAUGGGCAGGAGUAAGCCGUUAAGCUGCUUUCAGUCAUUGCUAUGUAAAUGUAAAGUGCUUUUUGAGAGGCAGUGUCAUUGUUCCCUGCAGACCAGCAGUGGCUUAUCUUUUGUCCAAAUACUGUCUUUACAAUCUGCAUACUGACAAUUUUCUCUUCCAUUUACGCUGUUAUUGUUUCCAUUUAUGCAGAAAUUGGACAGCAAGUUAAAAGGCAAAAGUGCAAAUGUUAUAUCCAAUUAUUAAUAGAUAUAGAUUAAACAAUAUAGAUGGCCAUUUGUCUGUGAUUAUGACUGCACAGAUGCUGGUUUACUUUGACUUAUGCCAUAUCAAAUUUGCAGAUAUUUUGUGAACCAGGAAACGCUUAGCUGUGAAAGUGCAAAAGCUGAACCGAAGCAUCAAUUUAUACUUGGGGGGCAAAACGUGAAUGAAUUUAAGAAUGUGUUACUUACUUAUUUUAACUUUAUUAUAUUCUAAAUCUAUAUUGACUUACGGGAAUUACUUACAAAUCAUUUAAAUCCAAAUUGUUAAUUAAAUAUACCAACACAACUGAAUUAAUUUAAUUUAUAUUU